Molecule: ribosomal RNA, 426 nt
Filed under: uncultured bacterium
Lineage: Bacteria
Description: bacterial SSU rRNA
Rfam family: Bacterial small subunit ribosomal RNA
Source: RNAcentral
GUAGGGAAUAUUGCACAAUGGGCGAAAGCCUGAUGCAGCAACGCCGCGUGCGCGAUGAAGGCCUUCGGGUUGUAAAGCGCUUUUCUAGGAGAUGAGAAAGGACAGUAUCCUUGGAAUAAGGAUCGGCUAACUACGUGCCAGCAGCCGCGGUAAAACGUAGGAUCCGAGCGUUAUCCGAAUUCACUGGGCGUAAAGCGCGUGCAGGCGGCCCUGUAAGUUGGAUGUGAAAUCUCCCGGCUCAACUGGGAGGGGACGUUCAAUACUGUAGGGCUAGAGGGCGAUAGAGGGAGGUAGAAUUCCCGGUGUAGUGGUGAAAUGCGUAGAUAUCGGGAGGAAUACCAGAGGCGAAGGCGGCCUCCUGGGUCGCACCUGACGCUCAGACGCGAAAGCUAGGGGAGCGAACGGGAUUAGAAACCCCAGUAGUCC